UACGUAGGGUGCAAGCGUUGUCCGGAAUUAUUGGGCGUAAAGAGCUCGUAGGCGGUCUGUCACGUCGGACGUGAAAAUCCAGGGCUCAACCCUGGACCUGCGUUCGAUACGGGCAGACUAGAGUUCGGUAGGGGAGACUGGAAUUCCUGGUGUAGCGGUGAAAUGCGCAGAUAUCAGGAGGAACACCGGUGGCGAAGGCGGGUCUCUGGGCUGACACUGACGCUGAGGCGCGAAAGCUAGGGGAGCGAACGGG
This 253-nucleotide ribosomal RNA is filed under the name uncultured bacterium. RNAcentral's name for it is "partial 16S ribosomal RNA". It matches the Rfam family "Bacterial small subunit ribosomal RNA", at positions 524 to 776 of the family's 1533-position model. The record is from RNAcentral.